CUCUUCUCGAUACUCAUAAUCCACUGGCUUGAGUUUCUGGGGUUGAAGAGGAGGAGGAGGAGGUCUGAUGGGGUCAGUGCAUCUUCUCCACCAGACACUCAGCCAUAGUGCUGGGCCCUCUGGACUAUCAGCUCAAACUAACCUUUCUUCAAAUUCACUGACUUAUGCCUUGUGUCAUGGCAACAGAAUCCCCCGAUUACACAGUCCCCAAUGCUGCAA
Molecule: long non-coding RNA, 219 nt
Organism: Mus musculus (house mouse)
Lineage: Eukaryota; Metazoa; Chordata; Mammalia; Rodentia; Muridae
Product: predicted gene, 34823
Exons: 2
Source: RefSeq, a predicted model, not a curated record